CUCUCGAGUUUUCUUUUCUUCUUUCUGCUAGGGUUCUACUUUUUGAGUUUCAUUAUACAGGGAAUAUCAGUGACGAUUCUUUUUGUUUACGGUUUCAUAUUGUUGGUUAAAGAACAAUACUUCGAAACAAAACGCAAAAGCUUGCCAGAAGCCGAAAAACAGUGAAGAUAGUAAUGUUUCCGGUGUUGAAUCUCUUCUGCUUAAAAAGAGUUAAAGAGAUUAUAGAUUUGCUUCAGCAAAAGCUUGAAUCAGUGAUUCAGAUCCCUGUAGAAGAAAACCUAAAUCACUUAUCACCUUUUCAUCUUCAUCUUUGCCUUUGUUCUUAAAAAAAAAAAGAUGUCAUUUACGGUUUGUUGUUUUUCUAUAUUUAUUUUGAUUUGGGUGUUGUUCGACUGAUUUUUUGAUUUGUCUCACUGUGUUUUAGUUUUGCAGGUGAGGGUUCAUUACUUCAUCUCUCUUCACCAGACAUGAUUUAGGUUUCUCUUUUGAUUGGGGUUUCUUAUUUUAGGGUUUUCAGUUGCAACCUAACCAAGAUUAUUGCUUUGUUCCUUUUCUCUGUUCAAUUUUGAUUUUGCUCUUAGUUUCGAAUUAGGAUUUUUAAUUAUUCAUAAUUGUGUUUUGAUUUUGCAGGCAAAUUAAUCUCUCUGCAACAAUCGAUACUCAUAGUCAGCUGCUGAUAUACAUUUUGUUUUGAUUUUAUCACGAAUUUAAUCUAAGCUUGCAGUAUACCCUAACUUUUAACCAUAACAGAGUGCACAUGAACUAUAAGCGAUUCAUUGGUUUUGUAUGAUAUUACAUGCUUUAGCCGUAGAGGUGAACACAUUUUUUCUGCAUGUUUCACAUCAUUAUAGUUGGGAGUCAAAAUUAGAUCCUUUCGAAUUAUAAUAUGGUACCCUGAAUUUUUUUGAUAGGAUUUUUGUUUAUUGUUUGUUCAUUGUAGUCCAUGUACCAUCUGUCUAAGAUAGAUUUUUGUGUUGUCGCUAGAUCGACCGUUCACAAUAUUGCAGUAGGACUGUCUUUGAGGAUGCCAAAAACGAAUUGGUCAAGCACUUCUUCUGGGAUGAAGAUUUCCGGUCCAUCCAGGAUGCAAUUCUACGUAAAAGGAAAGAACUGGGACAGUAAGUUUCCCUUCAUAAUAGGACCUCGAGUAUGGGAGGCAGGAAGAUCAUAUUAGUGUAUCGCUAAGUUGGUGAAGUUUCCCUUCAUAAUAGGACCUCGAAUAUGGGAGGCAGGAAGAUCAUAUUAGUGUAUCGCUAAGGCACAAGCAUUAGUUGCUUCAAAAAUCAUAUAGAUGUUGAUGAACAACGUAGGAGACAGUCAAACUCAUGGUUAUGCCAACCGUACUCAUGAAGAACAACGAAAUCUGCGAUUGAAGCUCGACUUAGAACCAGGAAAGUGCUGCAAUAUGAAUGUUUAACAAAUUGAUUUGGAAAAAAUAAGCUCAGCCCGUGCUUUGCCACUAGCAUCUCCCACAUCCGAAAUCACUGUGAUACUAUGUCGGGCAAAGAUCCAUAGCGUCCAGUUUGAGUUCUUUUUACCGAUACUAUUGGAGAUGCUUCUGCAUUUACUUUUGCUGCCCUAUAGAUUAACGGCUUUGGAGCUUUACCAAAUUGGACAGGGCAACACGAGGUGAAGCCGAGCUUUAUCAAAUCAAAAAUAUGAUUCAAAGAAAACAUGGACCAAAUGAUGGUGGAUGGGUUCGUUGUCCUGAUGGUGGAUGGGUUCGUUGUCCGCCCGGUGCGUAGCGCGCGCACAAAAUCUAGUUUUUACUCUAAUGGGCAGAUUAGCUAACCGAGUAGGAUCAAAAUCUAGUUUUUACUCUAAUGGGCAGAUUAGCUAACCGAGUAGGAUCAGAAUGCAGUAGUAUCAGCCGACAACUUUAUGGCCAGAUUAACUCAUAGGAGUCACCGGACCAAGUUUAACAUGGACAUGUAGUUGGGUGGUGAUUUCCCAAUCCUCGUAUUUUUUUCAUUUGGCAAUUCCUUGUCCCGUAUGGGUCCAUUUGGUCAAAAGGUCAAUCGAAGUUACUAGAUCU
Molecule: long non-coding RNA, 2035 nt
Organism: Papaver somniferum (opium poppy)
Lineage: Eukaryota; Viridiplantae; Streptophyta; Magnoliopsida; Ranunculales; Papaveraceae
Exons: 3
Source: RefSeq, a predicted model, not a curated record